UGGACGAACGCUGGCGGCGUGCCUAAUACAUGCAAGUCGAGUUAAGUUUUUCUGGUGCUUGCACUAGAAAAACUUAGCGGCGAACGGGUGAGUAACACGUAAAGAACCUGCCUCAUAGACUGGGACAACUAUUGGAAACGAUAGCUAAUACCGGAUAACAGUAUUUCUCGCAUGAGAGAUAUUUAAAAGUUGGUUAUGCUAACACUAUGAGAUGGCUUUGCGGUGCAUUAGCUAGUUGGUGGGGUAAAGGCCUACCAAGGCGACGAUGCAUAGCCGACCUGGGAGGGUGAUCGGCCACACUGGGACUGAGACACGGCCCAGACUCCUACGGGAGGCAGCAGUAGGGAAUCUUCCGCAAUGGGCGAAAGCCUGACGGAGCAACGCCGCGUGAGUGAAGAAGGAUUUCGGUUCGUAAAGCUCUGUUGUUAGGGAAGAAUGGAUAUGUAGUAACUAUACAUAUAAGAGACGGUACCUAACCAGAAAGCCACGGCUAACUACGUGCCAGCAGCCGCGGUAAUACGUAGGUGGCAAGCGUUGUCCGGAAUUAUUGGGCGUAAAGCGCGCGCAGGUGGUUUAAUAAGUCUGAUGUGAAAGCCCACGGCUCAACCGUGGAGGGUCAUUGGAAACUGUUAAACUUGAGUGCAGGAGAGAAAAGUGGAAUUCCUAGUGUAGCGGUGAAAUGCGUAGAGAUUAGGAGGAACACCAGUGGCGAAGGCGGCUUUUUGGCCUGUAACUGACACUGAGGCGCGA
RNAcentral lists this ribosomal RNA (750 nucleotides) under uncultured organism. RNAcentral's name for it is "SSU rRNA". It matches the Rfam family "Bacterial small subunit ribosomal RNA", at positions 26 to 756 of the family's 1533-position model. The record is from RNAcentral.